RNAcentral lists this ribosomal RNA (497 nucleotides) under uncultured bacterium. RNAcentral's name for it is "partial 16S ribosomal RNA". It matches the Rfam family "Bacterial small subunit ribosomal RNA", at positions 28 to 507 of the family's 1533-position model. The record is from RNAcentral.
GAUGAACGCUGGCGGCGUGCCUAAUACAUGCAAGUCGAGCGAACAGACGAGGAGCUUGCUCCUCUGACGUUAGCGGCGGACGGGUGAGUAACACGUGGUUAACCCACCUAUAUUACUGGGAUAACUUCGGGAAACCGGAGCUAAUACCGGAGAAUAUAUUGAACCGCAUGGUUCAAUAGUGAAAGACGGUUUUGCUGUCACUUAUAGAUGGAUCCGCGCCGCAUUAGCUAGUUGGUAAGGUAACGGCUUACCAAGGCAACGAUGCGUAGCCGACCUGGGAGGGUGGUCGGCCACACUGGAACUCAAACGCGAUCCACACUCCUGCGGACAGUCGCAGCCGGCACUCCUCCGCAACGGUCGAGAGUCUGAUCCUGGCACAGCCCGGAAGUACAGGAAAAGUUGGGGUUGGUAAAAUGCAUUAUUAGGGACGAAAAACUGUAUAGGUAGCUGUGGACAGAUUGACGGUACAUAGAAAGCAAGACACGGAUAACUUCGUG